UUUGUCCUUGCUCCUUUGAUAAUACUUAAAAAUGUAUACAAGUUUCGCAACAGUUAUAUUAUGUUCAAAUUACUACACUACAUAAAAUAGCAGAUUACUACGCUACACAAAUAGCUAGUUAAUGCAUAAUAGUAUUGUUAGUGUGAACAUCUCAACAUGGGCUUGAGUGAACUCAAACAAAGAAACCAUAUGCAGACAAGAAAUAUGCUUGUCUUUUAUUUCCAAUUAAAACUAGUACAUGUCAGGUUCGCACACGAUAGUGCAUGACACUUUAUUUGUCGUCGCUACAUCAAUCGAACCAUCGACUAAGCAACGGUGAACAAUCUAUCUAGUAUUAUAGCUCUUGUUCAGUUACCAACGAAGCCGCCAAAUGAGCCGGUGGUGGUGGAACAGUAUUGUGAGACAUACGCACCGCACGCCGCCGGUAGUGUUUGCAAGACAAAUGCCCUUAUCGCCUCAAAUGGAGGCUGGAUGGAGCCCUGGACCGACGGGUAUUGUUGUUGAGGUACCUUGAAGGUGCCCACACCCCACGAGUAUUGUUGUUGUUGUUGCUGAUGUUGUUGUUGCUCAUGCAAAAUAAUGGCAUGCGCGACACUAUUGAUGGCCAGGCAUCGUGAUUGCUCAGGGACCUGCCUGAACUACUCACAACACUCUUUCCGCAUCACCGCACAAACAUUUUCCUGCAAUAUUUGUGACUUGAAGGACGGUACCAGUAUGUUGCACUGCAACAACAGGACAUCCCUGCAUGAGAUCAAUUGUUGUUCAAAAAAGGACUGAAUGGUUUGCUGUUGUGGUUGCUGCGGAAAUGAUUGUUGUGGCUGAUCACUACGUAGAAUAUCGGAGGUGGCGGGUUCAAUGGUCGCCACAGCGACAAGGAGGGCAACGACGAGGAAGGUCUUCAUGGUGGAUUUGUGUUGGCUACUGCUUGAUUGGCUUUGUUGUUGUGCUCUUGCUAUGUGAAGGAUGAAUGAUGGUCAUCUUGAGGCAUGCCUAUUUAUAGAUGCCAUGGAAUGUUCUCUUUUACUCUUUGCAUUUGCUUUUAUUAAAAGUGUUUGGAUGCUUCUCGAAAGUUUCAUAUUGUUUGUGUUUGGUGGCACUAAUUAUUACAUGUGUAUUCUUGGAUGUUCAUUAAUCGACUGUUAGGAAAGCUUGAUAACCAACAUGCCUCAUCUUAAUCACUUUCUGAAAUACUCAUCUAGAUUGUAUCACUUUCUGAAAUUAGUUUGUAAUGUUCUGCAGGUUGUUACGCAUAAACCAGAUAGCCAUGGCUUGCACCGAACUAAAUUUGUAAUUUUGUGUGGCAUGUUAAGAUAGAUGGGACUAGUAAUGUAACUUGCUUUGGUAGAGCAUGACUCAUAAAAUUGCUUUUACACAUCAAGGAUUGUAAUGUUGUGCAAUUUUAUGAUAUAUAGAGCUGGUAUGAUGGCCUAUUACCAAAUCCAAUCCUUCUUCAUGACUUUCCAUGUCAUAUCACGAUAACAUAGGGUAGCCACGACAAAGGUGGAGAAGGUACUAGAAGCCACGUAACUCAAAAACAAAGAUAUACAAAAGGAGGGUACAAUCGCCAUACGAUUCCAUGAGAAUUAUUGAUCCGCCGCUUCAUCUCAUCGUUUGGGAGUUGAGGCAGCGGGGUGAUCUCUCUAUUGUGAAAGUUGACGGGUAUUUGCUCAAUAAUGUGGUGACAAAGAGUUAGGUCCCCAUGCUAUCUGAGCUAGCUACCUACUUUUUGUUGCCGGUGUAGCUCGAGAUCAUCUCUGCUAAGAAAGAGAUGCAUCGGAAGUCAAUGAGGGGAGUGCAUGAUGAGGCGUUUACGUUUGCAUCACACCAGAUGUCAUGGAUGUUAGAGAUACGACAGGCAAUUCAACUCGACGAAGAACGAAAAACAAGCAGGAGACACGAGAUUUAACGUAGGAAACCCCUCCGACAAGAAGGGGGGAAAACCACGGGCGCCAGCCAACCAAACUUCACUAUAUCGGGGGAGGUUACAAACGCUGGGGGUUUACAACUGAUCAACAUAUCCCGUGCUACGGCUUACAAGAGGUAUAUAUAACACACGUGACCUAGGUCAAUACUUGAAUUUGGAGCAUAACACAUAACAAUGGAAGCCGGCGUAGUCGGUGAUAUUGUACAUACGUUUACGUCUGUGUCACACCGCUAAUAUGCUUGAAGAUGUUUCACAAAGUUUAGUGAGUAUAUGUUGUCUAUCUCGUGUUAUGUACAGUACAUCUACGAUCUACGAAACGUAUUACUGCUUAUAUGUGUAACUAAAUAUCGAAUACUCGGUCUCGGUACACAACGUGAGGUAAUGAAGUAUGCGGUGCGCCCGGGCUUCCACGAAGUGCUAGCUCCGCCACUAGUUAUGUGAGGUAAAUAAUUUUAACAUUUUGAAUUUAGCAAGUACUCCCUCCGUCUCAAAAUUCCUGUCUUAAAUUUGUCUAGAUAUGGAUGUAUUUAAUAUUAAAACGUGACUUGAUACAUCCGUAUUUAGACAAAUCUAAGACAAGAAUUUUGGGACGGAGGGAGUAAUACCCAAGCCACUAUAUCCGGGAAAGUUUUUACCCUCACGUUUCACCACUUGGCUGAUUGGGACUAGGUGGCUUAUGGAAUGCGGACACGUGCGUUAUUUUGGGAGGCUGGGGGGUAGAAAUGUGUGUGUGACUGUAGUUUCCCCUACAAAAUUUUCCUUUCGCGUGUGCGUGUAGCUAUUUUGGGUAUUGAUUUGGAGUGCAUGUGGGCCAACCCUGUCUCGCUGACUUUCUUGCAUGGGUUGCGUGCGUGGCUAGAUGCAUUCGGUCUGUCUCCCUGCUGCCCACGAUCUGUCUCCUUGUCGGCUACUUCAUGCGUGCGUGGAUUGGCUUGGUUGCACAUGAAUUGGGUGGGCGUUUCUGGUGAUUUCUUCCUCUGCAUGGGUUGGUGUGGGUCAAUGCGCGUGGCCUUUUGGAUUAGCAUCUGCAUGCAUGCAGCCUUGGGAGGUGGUUUUCGAUUUCGCUACUUGCAUGCAUCUUACUAUUUCUCAAUGGCCCGUAGAAGUAGGCUGGGUUUUUCUUUUUUUGCAUGUACCGGCUAUUGCGAGUAUUGACGCGUGAAUAUAUUGACAUGUAACCGGUGCCUUCUCGAUAGCUCAAUGUAUCAUGCUUUCUGGAAUUCCUAUCGACCUAUAAAUACGGGAUUCUCUUCAGUUAUGUUGCAAGCCAGUUGCGUAGCGUUCCAGACUAGCGGCGCCAUGCACGCGUCGAGGCCGACCUGCUGGCCGUCGCCGUCCAAGCCAUCGGCGGCGGCCCUGCGAUGGAGCACGCAUAGUUUGGAAAGCAAGGUGCGAGGUACCCGGGGCCGGCCAGGAUGUGCGUGCACGCUAGGCUAUGGAUCGCGUUGUCCGAGGAGUCCAACGGGCAAGGUGAGCCUCAACGGACUUCUUCGGCGCACCGAUGAGGCUUUCGGACGGGCGGAAGUCCAGGCAUGGUUUGUUUCUCCGGAGAGGACCUAUUCCCUUAUUCCUCAUGUGUGUAUCUUCUCUUCCGCCUGGAUAUCGAUCUGACGCAGGAGGCACGCUAGCUGCAAAGCGCGACGGUAGCGGAUGUGGGAGGCCUCCGGCCGAUGGGGCCAAACACGGUGGUGCCGACGGUCGGCAAAGUCGCGACAGAGAUGGACGAGCUCGCGCUCCACGACCAUGGUGAUGGCCAGCGCGGGGCACCCGUGGCUGUUUUCACGCACCAGAUCUACCAGCGUCGCCCCUUUCUCUUCCGCACCAGUUCCACACGUCGCCGCCGGUUUCCUCCAUGACCCCUCCUCACCUCCAUCCCCAGCCAGCCCCCAUACACGCUGCCCGCCGGUGGAGCUCACCAGCGCCGUCAUGGACUCGGCGGCGUUGGAGGCCCAUUUUCCUGAGUAUCUGUUGGUGGAUUGGACGCCCGGCGGCGCUGCUCCAGCUCCUCAUGCCGGCGUGGUGGGUCAUCACUCCAGCGAGAGGAAGAAUGCGCAUGCACGCGCCGAUGUCCGCUGGAUCCCAUCCGCGUGGCCCAGGCGAGGUCGUUCUGCCCUAUGUUCGGCGUCCCUCUUCUACUGUUGCUUCUUUACUCUUUUUUGAGCAUCGAGGAUUGGCGGCUGCGGCGGAGCAGACUACUCCGUCGGCAACACCGCCGGUAUCGGGUGGCCAAUGCCUGUGAUGUGAAGAGGCUGGUGAUGCCGCCAGUCCACGAGCAACCAUACGCCGGGCACCGCGGGAGUCUCUGACGCGUCAAUCGCGGUCGCCCAACACGCGCGGACACUAUGAUGAAUGAGAGUGUCUUCAUUUUAUCCAGUAAUUUGGAAACUAAAGCUUAACGAUUAUCAAAAUUUCCCGCAAAAAAAACAUUAUCAUAAUCCCCCAGAAACAUUCAUGUAAUUGGCUAAAUCAAGCGGCAGUGCAACUCUAGGCGACACGCGGCUAAACGCGUAUCUACGCAAGGGCCUAGAAGGUCCGCCAUGCAUGCACCAUAGUCACAUCUACCUUUUCAUGCAUAUACAACUAAUACAAUAAUCUACCAUGCACAACUCAACAAGCGAUGCAUAAGUCACAUCCACGGAUCCACCUCCAUAUAAGUGGCUAAUAAAAUAAUCUAGGAGUACCACGCAUGCAUGUAGCCACGCUCUCUCUUGCAGGUAUUCAUUUAAAAAGAAUGUUAACCUCAUAAUAUGCACUCAGCAGGCAUGCAACCGUUAAAAAAGGAUUAUAAUUUCCGAAAACUUUACUUUCCUCCGCACUGCGCAAACAACAACAAUAAAUAUCACGAUCAAACAAUAUCAACCAAUUCUUAAGCGACACCAUGUGUACAUUCAAGUUUCAUCUUCCCUUUUGAAUAUCAUGAAUUACCUACCCUCUUUUUGAGGAAAAUACGUAUAUACAUACAAGGACUACACGUAUCCGUCACAUGAACAGACAAUAAAUGCAACGAAAAAUUCCUGUGCCACACACAAAUUAUGUCCCGCGUGCAUAUUCUAAGAUGACGUACUUGCAUGCAUGAAGUACAUUCAGAAAUAAAACCCGAGGCCACACCAUGAUGAUCUAAUUUAACAAUACUUAUUAAUGUUUAUUUAUCUUCUUGCAUUGAGUUGCGCCACUUUGGCCAAAAUAAAUGAUCCCCACUGGAGAUGUAUCAAACAUGUAUUUCCCUGUUUGGUAGCAUGCAUGAUGUGUGAUGGCAGUAAAUUUUUCUAUCGUAUUUUUCCAUAUUCAUAAUUUUACAUACAAUAAUCUUCCAUCUUAAAGUAAUAGCAUUUACUUUAAAAAAUAAACACAAUGUAUAUAACCAAACUGUAUAGACGAGCGCGGCGUGCCGCGCUGGCAUAGGCUAGUAUGACUAUGUUGGAGCGAGAUCAAAGUUCUCCGGCCGGAGACAAGACCAAUAGCAGCCGGCUUAGAGAAGUCAAACUUGCAUCCGUGCUACAAAAAUUUCCAUGAGAAUGGAACGCGGGAAAACCAAUGCAACCGACGCCACGACAAGCAGAGGAACGGAGAAUCACUUCACACUCUCCUCCCGCUUAUAUUCCACCGGUCUCGCAGCGUGGCCUAACAAGUCAAACACGUGUGCAUACUAGUAGUAGCUUGCCACUCCCUUUCUAUCCUGCAUUUCUCCUCCUGCACAGCCAGAGACCAGACAGGCACACACCCCCCCGCUCUACGAGUGCUCACGGUACCAGUAAGAAGGACAGGAGCAGGGAGGAGGGGAGAUCGAUGGCGAGCAGCGUGGGGGGAGAUGCCGGGGAAGGGGAGUGGCUCAAGGUCGCCGAGCUGAGGGCCAUGGCGGGAGCCCAGGACCCGCAUGUCAAGGUACGUUCCUUCCUUCAUCUUUCGUCGCUGUCGUACGUCUUCCUUUUGAGAGAUGAUAUGCACGGCUCGACGGUUCUGCUAUUGUCAGUUUGACAGCGGCGAUCGAUAUGCAACUAUCCAGAAAUCCCCGGCCGCGUUCCUUGUUUCGUUUGCAUGCUUUAGUUUUAUAGAUACUCCCUCCGUCCGAAAAUACUUGUCGGAAAAAUGGAUAAAAAUAGAUGUAUCUAGAACUAAAAUAUGUCUAGAUACAUCUAUUUUUUUCGACGAGUAUUUUCGGGCGGAGGGAGUAGAUUGCGAGCAGAACGCAAAUAACCGAUUUUUCCUUUUUUUUGUACCGAGAUGAACGUAUCAGUAGAAUAUAAGAGUAGGAUCCCCUAAAAAAAGAAUAUAAGAGUAGGUUAUACGGCCGGUAACCUGUCACUUUAAUUGGUCAAAAUAAGGCAUACAGAGCAUCUCGGUAGCAGUUGGUUGUAUGGACAGAUUAUGGGGGAUUCAUCUUAACAAAUUGAUCCUUGACUGAACAACCAGAUGCACCAGGACAAGUGAAGGGAACAGCCGUAUCGUACUCAUACCUCACCUCUAGCUAGCAGAACCACGUGGCUAUGUGAAGCAUGGGCGCCGCGCCGGCCCUACUAUUUUUCGAGUAAAUAGCCAAAAACGAUCACAGUUGAGACAACCUUUUUCUCAGAACUACAACUUCACAAAUCUUUUUUCCAAAACUUACUAAUUUUGUGCUAUUUUCUUCUUCUAAAAACUACCGUAUUUUGUUGAUGACCUAUUGACCUCAAACUAAGGGUGGUUGUAUUCAAAAAAAACUAAGGGUGGUUAUGAUAUAUAUGGCCCACCCGUCGACCCCGACGUGGCACAAAGUCAACCCCAUUGAGCUGCAUUGUUAUAUUGACCGUUAUGACAUGCGGGACCCACACGCCAUUUUCAGUAAGAGAAAGGACUCGCACACACGCACUGGGCGAAGCAUUUUCAUGUUCGUCCGUUCGGUCAAACCAGCCGCUCGCACGCACACAGCCCCGGACAUGUGGCGCGCGCUCUGCCUCGCCGAGUGGCCGUCCCUCGCGGGCCAGCAUAGGCUCCUCUCCGCGGUGAUGCCGCGCCGGCUCUUCGCUGACGCUUCCUCUUUCGCAGACCGGACGUCCGGGAGCUCGGCGACGACGGCAUCCCUGCGAAGAUCGUCUCCGCGGUGGACGUGUAUUGCAGGGGCACCCUCGUGUUGUCACAUGUGGUGGAGAUGCCCGCGUAUCGCCGCCAUGGUUCCUUAGCUCAUAGAUCCGCGUCGAGGUCGUGGAUUACAAGAAGCCGGCACCGGUGGCAGCGGCGUUCUCUCCGGUGGAGCUGAAGCUGAGAUGGUUGGUCGUCAACCACGCCUGCGGCCGAGCGAUGAAAGUGUCUAGCAGGCGGGCGCCUUGGGCCGGCACUGGUACGCCGGCGAGAUGCUGGUCCGGUUCAUGAUGGUGUUGGGCGGGUGCAACUUCGAGAUCACUGUGACCUGACCUAAGGAGGCCACACACUUCAGCGAGGUCAGCCUCGCAGUGGAGAACGCCCACGACGCCACCGUCUACAAGCUGCUUGAGGAAAUAUCCCCAUAGAUAAAAUGUCUCAAGAGAGAAAAUGGUUGACGCCGAUGUGUGGGUCCCACCUGUAAUAACGGCAAUAUAACGGUCAAAGUUAACGGAAUUGACAUUUUAUGCCAUGUUAGCCCUGACAGGUGGGGCCACCAUGUCAUGAACGAUUCUAAAAUGCACGAACAGGUACCUAACUCGAACGGGUAUUUUUUAGCAAAAAGUUAGUGCGAAAUUGGUACGCUUUGACAAAAAUUUGUAAGGUGAUAGUUCUAGGUUGCCCCGAUCGUGAUAGUUUUUGGCUAUUUACUCUUAUUUUUCUACCAUUGCUGAUAACUAUUCAAGCAAGCAUACAGCGGAUCGAAUAAGCUGGAAUCACCAAGACACAUGGCGCAGAGUAAUACUACAUAUACAAAGGUUUACUUAAAAAAUUACAUACAAACUUAUGUGGAUGAUUUUGAUUGGUAGAGGGGUGAGGGGGCUAACCCCACUUAAAUUCAAGGGGAAAGAGAAUUAGUUUGAAAGGUUAAGUAAACCUUUGUACUGAUUCUUUGUAGGUCUAUAUAUGCAUGCGGCUAGGAGAAUUUAGUACAGUAUUAAUUUAGUUAAUUCCAUUCAGUAUUUUACCUGAUCGAGUAUACUGACGCGUACGCUGCAGGAGGUGGACAACCUGACGCUCCGGAGGUUCCUGCGCGCGCGCGGCCACGACGUGGGCAAGGCCUCGGCGUUGCUGCUCAAGUUCGUGGCGUGGAGGCGGGAGGCCGUGCCGGGGGGCGUCGGCGCCGUCAUGCCGGCGGAGCUGGUGCGGGCGGAGCCGUCGCGAGAGUUGGCCUCCAUGGGCGGCGUCGACCGCGCGGGCCGCCCCGUCCUGCUCGCCUUCCCGGCCAAGCACUUCUCCGCCAACCGGGACAUGGCCGGCUUCAAGCGUACGCACGUCGACCCCACCUUCACUCCCAUGGCCUCUGAUCUUUGCUUGCUAAUGAUCGACGAUGGAGUUUGACGAUCUUGGUUACCUUCAUCCGGUGCAGGGCUUGUUGUGUACCUGCUGGACAGUGUCUGCGCGAGGAUCCCACGGGGGCAGGACAAGUUCAUCGUCGUCGUGGACCUCAAGGGGUGGGGGUACGCCAACUGCGACGUGCGCGCGUACGUGGCGGCCAUCGAGAUCAUGCAGAGCUACUACCCGGAGCGGCUGGGCAAGGCGCUCAUGGUGCACGUGCCCUACAUCUUCAUGAAGGCCUGGAAGAUGGUCUACCCCUUCAUCGACGCCAACACCAGGGACAAGUUCGUGUUCGUGGACAACAAGAGCCUGGAGGGGGCGCUGCGGCGGGAGAUGGAUGAGAGCCAGGUGCCGGAGAUGUACGGCGGGAAGCUGCCCAUUGCCCCCCUCACCGACGACUAGGUAGCCAUUUCUAAGACAAGUAUUUCCGGACGGAGGGAGUACGACGUACGAUCGGUCGAUGUAUGUAGCAUCGAAACCGAAACAAACGGGACAGGGUCUCUUGUAUGUAGAUGUAAUUGGGGGAGAGAGCUCGCAGUGUCACCGUCUGUAUGGUAAGGUAUUUUUCUGACAGAAAGCAUUCCUGCAUUCAGCGGUGUGAUAUGGCAAGGGGGAUUAAUGGCAUUUAAACACGACAGAAUUUGGACGCGAGUCCCGUUCCUAGGAUAUUGGUAGUAGUAUUAUUUUAAGAAAACAUUCAAUUUACUCUAUUACUUGAGGACACUGAC
RNAcentral lists this long non-coding RNA (9105 nucleotides) under Triticum aestivum (bread wheat). RNAcentral's name for it is "long non-coding RNA (TAES_LNC000706)". The stretch from base 2395 to 2529 matches the Rfam family "MIR1120/MIR1122 microRNA precursor family". The record is from RNAcentral. Lineage: Eukaryota; Viridiplantae; Streptophyta; Magnoliopsida; Poales; Poaceae.